AGCAGCCGCGGUAAUUCCAGCUCCAAUAGCGUAUAUUAAAGUUGUUGCAGUUAAAAGCUCGUAGUUGAAUUUCGGGAUUGACGUGAUGGUCAUGCCUUAAGGGGUAUGAACUGUUACUGUUGAUUUCUCACCUUCUGGAGAAACUUGAUGUCCUUUAUUGGGUGUCUUGCGGAUCCAGGACCUUUACCUUGAAAAAUUGAGUGUUUAAAGCAGGCAUUUUUGCUCGAAUACAUUAGCAUGGAAUAAUAGAAUAGGACGGCAUGGUUCUAUUUUGUUGGUUUCUAGGAUCACCGUAAUGAUUAAUAGGGAUAGUUGGGGGCAUUAGUAUUCAAUUGUCAGAGGUGAAAUUCUUGGAUUUAUUGAAGACUAACUACUGCGAAAGCAUUUGACCAGGAUGUUUUCAUUAAUCAAGAACGAAAGUUAGGGAUCGAA
Molecule: unclassified non-coding RNA, 432 nt
Filed under: uncultured Glomus
Lineage: Eukaryota; Fungi; Glomeromycota; Glomeromycetes; Glomerales; Glomeraceae
Description: SSU rRNA
Rfam family: Eukaryotic small subunit ribosomal RNA
Source: RNAcentral